AUCACAUUGGGUGCUCACUACUAAAAUUGGAACAAUACAGAGAAGAUUAGCAUGGCCCCGUGCAAGGAUGACAUGCAAAUUCAUGAAGCGUUCUAUAUUUUC
This 102-nucleotide small nuclear RNA is filed under the name Spermophilus dauricus (Daurian ground squirrel). The record is from RNAcentral. Lineage: Eukaryota; Metazoa; Chordata; Mammalia; Rodentia; Sciuridae.